RNAcentral lists this ribosomal RNA (466 nucleotides) under uncultured bacterium. RNAcentral describes it as "partial 16S ribosomal RNA". It matches the Rfam family "Bacterial small subunit ribosomal RNA", at positions 28 to 507 of the family's 1533-position model. The record is from RNAcentral.
GAUGAACGCUGGCGGCGUGCUUAACACAUGCAAGUCGAACGGAAACGCUCUUGCUUGCAGGGCUACUCGAGUGGCGAACGCGUGAGUAACACGUGGGUGAUCUGCCCUGCACUUCGGGAUAAGCCUGGGAAACUGGGCCUAAUCCCGGAUAGGACGCUGGUUUGGAUGCCAUUGUGGAAAGUUUCUUCGGUUUGGGCUGAGCUCGGGGCCUAUCAGCUUGUUGGUGGGGUAAUGGCCUACCAACGCCUCGACGGGUAGCCGGCCUGUGAGGGUGUACGGCCACAUUGGGACUGAGAUACGGCCCAGACUCCUACGGGAGGCAGCAGUGGGGAAUAUUGCACAAUGGGCGCAAGCCUGAUGCAGCGACGCCGCGUGGGGGAUGACGGCCUUCGGGUUGUAAACUCCUUUCGCUAGGGACGAAGCGCAAGUGACGGUACCUGGAGAAGAAGCACCGGCUAACUACGUG